This 490-nucleotide ribosomal RNA is filed under the name uncultured bacterium. RNAcentral's name for it is "partial 16S ribosomal RNA". It matches the Rfam family "Bacterial small subunit ribosomal RNA", at positions 30 to 507 of the family's 1533-position model. The record is from RNAcentral.
AUUGAACGCUGGCGGCAGGCCUAACACAUGCAAGUCGAACGGUAACAGGAAGAAGCUUGCCUCUUUGCUGACGAGUGGCGGACGGGUGAGUAAUGUCUGGGAAACUGCCUGAUGGAGGGGGAUAACUACUGGAAACGGUAGCUAAUACCGCAUAACGUCGCAAGACCAAAAAGGGGGACCUUCGGGCCUCUUGCCAUCGGAUGUGCCCAGAUGGGAUUAGCUAGUAGGUGGGGUAACGGCUCACCUAGGCGACGAUCCCUAGCUGGUCUGAGAGGAUGACCAGCCACACUGGAACUGAGACACGGUCCAGACUCCUACGGGAGGCAGCAGUGGGGAAUAUUGCACAAUGGGCGCAAGCCUGAUGCAGCCAUGCCGCGUGUAUGAAGAAGGCCUUCGGGUUGUAAAGUACUUUCAGCGGGGAGGAAGGGAGUAAAGUUAAUACCUUUGCUCAUUGACGUUACCCGCAGAAGAAGCACCGGCUAACUCCGUG